Molecule: RNA transcript, 2253 nt
Organism: Eucalyptus grandis
Lineage: Eukaryota; Viridiplantae; Streptophyta; Magnoliopsida; Myrtales; Myrtaceae
Gene name: LEC14B homolog
Exons: 10
Source: RefSeq, a predicted model, not a curated record
GGCCUGAACAUGGAUCGAUACCGUCCGCCCGCCCCCGUUUCCGUCAGCAGCACCGGCUCGGACUGCAGACACGUGGCGCAUGUGCCGCCAAGAGAUCCUGCUGUCGGAGUUCCUUUCUGCCGAAAUCGAAACCACCAGUGGAAGAAGGAGAAGGAGCCUGAGCGUGACGCACUUCUUGCUCAGUUCUUACGUCUUCGCAUACGCACUCCUCUGCGGGAGAUAUAAUAAAACCCUUCAUCUCAAUCCUCCGGGAGGCUCCAAUCGUACCCUUGUUCGGUUUCUUUCUCCAACCCUCCUGCAGGAGGUUCUCUCUCGGCUUUUACCGGGAUUUGCCUCGUUGAAUAUUGGGUCAAGUCUCACUGUUGUACAUUCUCCACUGAGGAUAUUUUUUGUCAACAGAUUCUUAAAUGCAGUUACAGGCAAACUAAUGCACAACAGCUGGGUUUCGGUUUAGGUUUGCAAUGUCUCAGCUUGCCAAGGGUAAACGAGUUUGCAAGGAGGAGACUUCUGAUACCCAUUCCCAUGGAGUUCGAGGAUAUGGCAGAAACUCAGGUGACUUAGACCAUGAGAUCGCUCAGUUGACGAAGCUCAGAUCCGAGCCCAAUGAACAUUUGAGAAAGGCUACGGUGGGCGGAUUGAAAAUGCCUGUCUCUACCCUGAGAAUGUUGGCUGCUCGAGAGAGCAAUUAUUCAGGGAGAGGGAGGUUCUCCUUGUCUGAUAGCUGUCAUGUGUUGAGUAGAUGUUUGCCUAUUUAUGGCCCUCAAAAGGUGGAUAAGAUGCAAUCCCGUGCAUAUGUUUCUCAGUUUUCUGUUGAUGGUUCACUGUUUGUGGCGAGCUAACAGGGGAGCCAUAUUAGGAUAUACAACGUGGAUAAGGGCUGGAAAAUUCAGAAGGACAUACUGGCAAAAAGUUUGAAUUGGACGAUUACCGACACUUCUCUUUCUCCUGAUCAACGUUACCUCGUCUAUUCUAGUAUGUCACCUCUUGUCCACAUUGUUAAUAUUGAAUCUGCUGCAACAGAGUCACUUGCAAAUAUCAUGGAAAUACAUGAUGGCUUGGAUUUUUCUUCUGAUAACAAUGACGACAAUGAAGAUAUUUCUAUCUUCUCUGUGAAGUUCUCAACUGAUGGGCGAGAGCUUGUUGCUGCAAGUGGUGAUGGGGCAAUAUAUGUAUAUGAUCUUGCAGCAAACAAGGUUGGCCUUCAAAUCCCAGCUCAUGAGGUUGAUGUUAACACCGUAUGCUUUGCGGAUGAAAGUGGCCAUGUUAUUUAUUCUGGAAGUGAUGAUAAUCUCUGUAAGGUCUGGGACCGUCGUUGUCUUUCUACAACAGGACAAGCAGCUGGAGUUUUGACAGGACAUCUAGAAGGCAUUACAUUUAUUGAUAGUCGUGGAGAUGGACGCUACCUCAUUUCAAAUGGAAAGGAUCAGUCUACCAAACUAUGGGAUAUACGAAAGAUGACUUCAAAUAGUCCAGCAUUCCACAGGCGAAGAGACUUUGAUUGGGAUUACAGGUGGAUGGCCUACCCAGAGGAAGAUAGAAACUUGAAGCAUCCCCACGAUCAGUCGGUGGCUACAUAUAAAGGUCACUCAGUGUUGUAUACUCUGAUACGCUGUUACUUCUCCCCUGCAUAUAGCACUGGUCAGAAGUAUAUCUACACUGGAUCUGGUGACUGUGUAGUUUAUAUAUAUGAUCUGGUGAGUGGUCAUCAAGUUGCCAGACUCGAACAUCAUAGCCAACCUGUAAGGGAUUGCAGUUGGCAUCCAUUUUACCCGUUGAUGGUCACCUCUUCAUGGGAUGGUGUGAUUGCCAAGUGGGAAUUCCCAGGGGACAACAGGAAGGAAAAAUCAUCGUCUAGGCCAAGGCGGAGAAGCAGGAGGGCAAUGUUUUACUAGAGCGGGUCACAGCCUUAAAUGUCCCGGUUUUUUAUCAUCUUUUGCUCAUUGUUUAUAGUCAAAUUAACAUGGGAGGUGUCCAGUAUUGAUACACAUUACUGAGAUUUCUUCUUCAGUUCAUCCCCUUGCUGUAUAUAAAGCUCAGAACUAUUUCUUGUCAUUGCUUCAGCAGCAGUGAGAUGGGUUUAACAAUUAAGUAAAUCCAAAUAAGGGUUGUCUUUGUUAAUCGUCUGCUUCCCUCGGCCAAAUGUGGGGAAAGUCUAGGGCAUCAAAUAGAAGCAGUUCUCCAUGGCCGGUACUGAGUGGUCACUCUGUUGUUUGGCGAUGAACAAUUUUCAUUUGUUCUGUUUCUUUUGUUUGA